Molecule: long non-coding RNA, 1377 nt
Filed under: Oryza brachyantha (malo sina)
Lineage: Eukaryota; Viridiplantae; Streptophyta; Magnoliopsida; Poales; Poaceae
Description: long non-coding RNA (OBRA_LNC001904)
Source: RNAcentral
UGUUGACAUGCUAACAAAAAUUCUUCUACGAUUGAUUAUUAUAAGUAGGCAAAGUGGAAUAUCUGUGCACUCUCAAAAGUAUAAGAAAUGGUGUGUGAAAUGUAAAGGAUUUGACUCCCUUCUUUGUUUUGCUACAGGAUGAUGGCAUCUCUGAAGAAAUGGAAGGGACCGUCGAUGGAUUGUCUGAACAAGUCUCCAGGAUGCACUCCUAGUGCAGCAAUGGCAGACGAUGAUAGGUGCAAGAUUUCUGUGAGGCACACCAGUUGCUGAUAAAUAUAGAAGCAGAAUACUGCACUGCAAAUUUCGACCUGGGACGAUGCAACAGCCAGCCCGAGAUGAUUUGGGUCCCUUCUUAUUCCCACGCAUGUUCACAUAUUCUUGUUGCCAUCAUGCUGUCUCUAUAGAAGCCCUGCAUGAAUUGAUGAAUUAUCAUCACUCAGAUGUUACACUAGAUUAGUCCAUGGAGUCAUGGAGAAAAGAAGAGCAGCCAGCUUGUGCGCCAUGUGAGCAUGUUCAUUUCCAGUGUGAUCUACUCAUAUCCAUGCUUUUUGUAAUGGCAUAUGAAACAGUUGUCAGUGAGACGGGACAGUAAUCUCUUUCUCUUUGAAGAAUUUGUUCAUUUUCAGUUUGCCUAGCGAAUUUCAGAACCUAGCUGGGUGCUUAAACAUCAUGUCAUACGAAUUUUCCAACCAAGAUGAAUGUUACAUUAUAUAAUUACAAUCAGAGAUUUAGAAUGACAAUGAAAUCGGGGAACAUAUACCAGAGUUAACGAAGGAGAUUCAUGCGGAGAGAGAGGUGUUUGGGCGGCUGGGCGACCGACGUCCCGGCGCCGGCGGAAUCGCUCCCCACCCCCUCGCCGGCUCGCCCGCCGCCGCACGCAUCCCUCCUGGCGUCUCCCCCUCUUCGUCGGCGGCGCGGUGCGUGAUCACCACCUGCGUCGUGGCCAACCGUCCGGCGGCCGCCAUGCGACAGUGCGAGGUUCCCGAUGUCGUGGCGGCACAGCGGGUCCAGCCGCUUCGUCGCCGGCGUGCUGCGCGUCCACGACGGCGGUGGACGCGGCGACGGGAUAUGGAUUUCGUGCGGCCCAAUAUACGGGUCCGGCCUGCGAAAGGGCCUGUAGCCCAGUGGUUACAAGGGUACCAGUAGCACCUAAGGUUCUGGGUUUGACUCCUGGUUGGAGCGAAUAUUCUAGGAUUUUCUUCUGGUUAGAGCGAAUAUUCUAGGAUUUUCUAACGGCUUUGUGCUUUCAGGGAUAGGCGUUGUCCCCGCUGAUCAGGCUUCGGAGAUGCUCAUAUGAGUAGGGUUUACGUGCGUACGUUCUUAGGAGAGAGUGUGCAUACGUUGUGAGCAUAUGCGUUGUGCUGUGUUCUCUCAAAA